Molecule: long non-coding RNA, 912 nt
Organism: Bombus terrestris (buff-tailed bumblebee)
Lineage: Eukaryota; Metazoa; Arthropoda; Insecta; Hymenoptera; Apidae
Exons: 5
Source: RefSeq, a predicted model, not a curated record
AGGCGCCAAAGUACAAUCGAUAUUAUCGAUGCCUGCGAUAUAUUGGAGGGACAGCUUCAGAAUGAUCAAAGAAUUGAAUGUGCGAUUCACCGUAUCGUCAGAAAAGUUUUGAAUUCCUUGUGUGAUAUAUGUACAUCGUUCAACUGAGACUGCUAUGAAUGUAUCUUCAGCAUGAGUCAGCAACGUCAGUAAUAUUAGCGGCAGAAAGGUGUUCUUGAUUAUUCUGCGAUAGCUAAAAUCUUACGGGCAUUUGAAGAGCGUUGGGUCCGAAUCGAUCGAAAAAAUGAGGCAAAUCGUCGUAAAAAAGAGACGAGAAACGUAGCCAGGAAAUGGCGAACCACGAGGACACCGACACGUCGAUGAUCACUGUAAUAAUCGUAGUAACAACCGUCGACGUUAUAAAACGCAGGAUUCACGUGCAGGAAUGUUUCCAACAUCGAUGAUGGGAAUUUUGUUUUUAUCAUUGAAAUACUGAAAAUUGGAAAUAUUAUGUAUUAUGCAAAUAUUCCAGCAAUCUGCAAUUCGUUUGAUGUUUCAGAAGUGAUAAUUUAUAAUUGAUCCAAGUUAGGUUAUUUUAAUUGAAACGUUGUUAUAAUUUGAAAUCAAAUAAUUUGGCAAAUCAGAACUUGAUUAAUUACUUACAAGAUUCGUUUAUACAGCGACACUCCGUAGAAAAUACAACUUUUUACAUUCAAUGUAACACGAAGUUUCAUAUUAAAAUUAAGAUUCAUCCUGUACGUAUAUUAUGAUUCAGCCUUCCUCUUGUUUUCUCUCUUAUUUUUUUCAUUUCAAUCUCUUUUUUAAGGAAUCACGCUCCAAUUUCUUUCUUUAAUUCGCAGAAAGCAAAAUUGAAAUUAACACUCCGACCAAGCCUCGAAUACUAAUCACGAGCAAGACUCGAAUCCAAUGAUC